Oncorhynchus tshawytscha (Chinook salmon) is the source of this 3284-nucleotide long non-coding RNA. The record is from Ensembl. NCBI's taxonomy places the organism in Eukaryota, Metazoa, Chordata, Actinopteri, Salmoniformes, Salmonidae.
GCCAAACGUGACGCACCAAACGGAGCAAUUUCUCCUAAACAAAUAAUCUUUCAGGAAAAACUGAGCAUUUGCUAUCUAACUGAGAGUCUCCUCAUUGAAAGCAUCUGAAGUUCUUCAAAGGUAAUGAUUUUAUUUGAAUGAUUUUCUGGUUUUUGUGAAAAUGUUGCCUGCUGAUGCUAACGCUAAAUGCUACGCUAGCUGGGCUAGCUGUUACACAAAUGCUUGUUUUGCUAUGGUUGAGAAGCAUAUUUUGAAAAUCUAAGAUGACAGUGUUGUUAACAAAAGGCUAAGCUUGAGAGCUAGCAUAUUAAUUUCAUUUCAUUUGUGAUUUUCAUGAAUAGUUAACGUUGCGUUAUGGUAAUGAGCUUGAGGCUGUAUUCACGAUCCCGGAUCUGGGAUGGCUCGACGCAAGAAGUUAACUCGUGUUUAUUUUAUUGCCAUUCAAGGUAGAUAGCCAGCUAAAUGUAUAGCUAGGGUAUCCAGAUUACUUGCCUUACAUUCCCCAACACGACUAUCUCAUGACUUCUUUCACCCUCCAGGUAUUCAGACUGCCUCCGUUUACGGGCCGACUUCUUAAAUUAAAAAUGUUUUCAGAGAGUUUGGUCUCAUAAAGAAGCAGCAGUGUUUUUCACUGUGUACACCAGAAGUCACAUGCAGGAUAUUUAAAUAUGUGUAUUUAAAUAUGCGUGUGUGUAGUCGAGCAUGUGUGCAUGUGUGUGCUUCCAUGUGCGUGUGUAAUUGAAGACGGGGGGAGUUUCACUGAGCUGAAGUGUACUACUCCAGAGUACAUUACCAGUACCUCUCUUUGUGCUAGCUCAAUAUCUCCUUACAACAGAAAUUGAAUUACACCAGAAGAUUUGAUAACACUUGAUGGAAGCGAAAAUGCUGCUUGUCCAUUAAAGAGAUAUUAUCUUCUGCUCUCUUCCUCUCUCUCUCCCUUCUCUGUCUCUCAGAAAAUUCAUCAUGUGAUUUUUCGAUUUCAACAACCUUUUUGCCAAAUACAAAAAUCUAUUAUAAAAGCUGCUGUUGUCCAUUUAAAGAAUGACUGUGUUAAUAAUGAAGAUGAUGCUGUUAUUAAUGAUGUACACAUUCUCAGUACUACACAGGUAUGAUGUUGUUAUUAAUGAUGUACACAUUCUCAGUAAUACACAGGUAUGAUGUUGUUAUUAAGGAUGUACACAUUCUCAGUAAUACACAGGUAUGAUGCUGUCAUUAAGGAUGUACACAUUCUCAGUAAUACACAGGUAUGAUGCUGUUAUUAAGGAUGUACACAUUCUCAGUACUACACAGGUAUGAUGCUGUCAUUAAGGAUGUACACAUUCUCAGUAAUACACAGGUAUGAUGCUGUCAUUAAGGAUGUACACAUUCUCAGUAAUACACAGGUAUGAUGUUGUUUUAUAUUUUAAUGUCUCAUCAGUUAUUUGUGAAGUGUAUUUAAGCAACUAAAGUAAAUGUAAUAAACACAUUUACUGGCUAAAGGAUGAACAAGUAAGGCAGGAUUGCAACGAAGACACGUUAUCACUGGAUGUCUUAAACUUGCUACUAAUAAGAGAUUACACGAAGCUGGUUACAAUGAAGAACCUGCGGAACCUUUAGACCAGCUCAUAUGAUGUCAUCACAUUCUUUCUUCAAUAAAGUACAAUAUGCCAGAACAGGUCUGCUGGCCUUGGAGUCCUGUAAGACUAUACAACGGCUCACUGUUCAGUGUUAUCAUGUUGUUCUAAAAAUAAAGAAAUCAUCUCUGCUAUCCACACACAACAUAGGACAUGUUACUCUUAAUUAACUACCAGCACGAUUUAAAAAAAAAAGUAAUUACAAUAUCAUUGUGCAACUUUAUAUAACUUACUUUGAAUACGAUAUAAUUUGAUUCCAAAUACAACACAAUGAUUUAGUUUCAUAUGUCAAAUGAGUAGACUAUCACAGCUAAAUAAUAUUUCCUUUUCCCUGCUUGAUAAGAAAUCGAUUCAGACAAUUCAAAUCAUUAAUGUAUUGCAUAAAUUGGAAACAAAAUAUAAUUUCUACUCCAUGACUUUUCCAGUCAGACAAUGUGUAGGGUAGACUACACUGUCAUAGUAGAUUUGCCACCGUAAACAAGGAAUUUAAUGCUAUAUUUCAGCUGUACGGAAUGAUUGAUAAAUACAUAAAUUGUACUUAGUCAUGUAAAAAAGACAGAUCAAAUUGUUAUGAUGAUAAUAACCACCAUAGAUCAAAACUUUCUUGAAGAAAGUCUGGUUACAAUGAGGACUACAAGAUAACCCGGACAUCCGAGUUAUCGAGCAGUAAAUAGGUGGCAGCUGAUGGUUGCAUCUGAGACGAUCAAUGCAGGUCAAUUUAGCGCUAUUGAUGGUUGCAUCUGAGACGAUCUAUGCAGGUCAAUUUAGCGAUAUUGAUGGUUGCAUCUGAGACGAUCUAUGCAGGUCAAUUUAGCGCUAUUGAUGGUAUGAGGAGAGAUCAGCUGUGCAGGUCAAUUUUGCUGUAUUGAUGGUUUAAGGAGAGAUCAGCUGGCGAUAAUCUAGUCGUCAAUUGUUGUUGUAACAGGCCCCAUUCAUAUUACAGAGAAGAGGAGCAUGCUGGGAAAACAGGAUGACAUGAACUGGCUCAAAUUACAAGCGGUUGUGUGGUGGCACUGGUUAAUUAGUUGACUGAUUGAAUGAAACAACACAAUUUGAAAAAUUAUUAAAUUGUGUGUGUGUGUGUGUGUUUGUGUGUGUGUAUAUGUGUUUGUGUGUGUGUGUGUGUGUGUGUGUGAAUGUGUAUGUGUGUGUAUGUGUUUGUUUGUGUGUAUGUGUGUGUGUGUACGUGUGUGUGUGUGUGUGUGUAAAUCAAAUAAAAUGUAAAAAUAUUGUAUUUUCACAUGCUGAGAAUACAACCUUACUCAGUCCUCCCUUUCCUGUAGCACACAAUCAUAUCCUUUGUCUUGAUCACAUUGACGGAGUUGUUAUCCUGGCACCACACGGCCAGGUCUCUGACCUCCUCCCAAGAGACGGUUUCAUCGUUGUCAGUGAUCAGCCACUGUUGGCCAUACAGUCAAGGGUGAACAGGGAGUACAGGAAGGGACUGAGCAUGCACCCCUGAGGGGCCCCCAUGUUGAGGAUCAGUGUGGCAGAUGUGUUGUUAUCUACACUCACCACCUGGGGGCAGCCCGUCAGGAAGUCCAGGAUCCAGUUGGAGAGGGAGGUGUUUAGUACCAGGGUCCAUAGCAUAGUGAUGGCCUUUGAGGGCACUAUGGUGUUGAACGCUGAGCUGUAGUCAAUGAAUAGCAUUCUCACGUCUGUGUUUCUUUU